UGAACGCUAGCGGCAGGCCUAAUACAUGCAUUUCGGACGGUAAGCGGCCCUUCGGGGCCGCGAGAGUGGCGGACGGGUGCGUAACGCGUAUGCAACCAACCCCUGUCGGCCGGAUAGCCGGUGGAAACGCCGGAUAAUACGGCAUGAACCCUAGUUGGGGCAUCCCAAGUAGGGCAAAGCGGCGACGCGGACGGGGACGGGCAUGCGUGCCAUUAGCUGGUUGGCGGGGCGACGGCCCACCAAGGCUACGAUGGCUAGGGGAUCUGAGAGGACGGUCCCCCACACUGGUACUGAGACACGGACCAGACUCCUGCGGGAGGCAGCAGUAAGGAAUAUUGGUCAAUGGGCGAGAGCCUGAACCAGCCAAGUAGCGUGCAGGAAGACGGCCCUAUGGGUUGUAAACUGCUUUUAUAAGGGAAUAAAGUGAGCCUCGUGAGGCUUUUUGCAUGUACCUUAUGAAUAAGGACCGGCUAAUUCCGUGCCAGCAGCCGCGGUAAUACGGAAGGUCCGGGCGUUAUCCGGAUUUAUUGGGUUUAAAGGGAGCGUAGGCCGGAGAUUAAGCGUGUUGUGAAAUGUAGACGCUCAACGUCUGCACUGCAGCGCGAACUGGUUUCCUUGAGUACGCACAAAGUGGGCGGAAUUCGUGGUGUAGCGGUGAAAUGCUUAGAUAUCACGAAGAACUCCGAUUGCGAAGGCAGCUCACUGGAGCGCAACUGACGCUGAAGCUCGAAAGUGCGGGUAUCGAACAGGAUUAGAUACCCUGGUAGUCCGCACGGUAAACGAUGGAUGCCCGCUGUUGGUCUGAAUAGGUCAGCGGCCGAGCGAAAGCAUUAAGCAUCCCACCUGGGGAGUACGCCGGCAACGGUGAAACUCAAAGGAAUUGACGGGGGCCCGCACAAGCGGAGGAACAUGUGGUUUAAUUCGAUGAUACGCGAGGAACCUUACCCGGGCUCGAACGGCACCUGGAUCACCCAGAGACGGGUGAGUCUUCGGACAGGUGUCGAGGUGCUGCAUGGUUGUCGUCAGCUCGUGCCGUGAGGUGUCGGCUCAAGUGCCAUAACGAGCGCAACCCUUGCCGCCAGUUGCCAUCAGGUGAUGCUGGGCACUCUGGCGGGACUGCCACCGCAAGGUGUGAGGAGGGGGGGGAUGACGUCAAAUCAGCACGGCCCUUACGUCCGGGGCGACACACGUGUUACAAUGGCGGCCACAGAGGGAUGCUACCCCGCGAGGGGAUGCGGAUCUCGAAAAGCUGUCCCAGUUCGGACUGGAGUCUGCAACCCGACUCCACGAAGUUGGAUUCGCUAGUAAUCGCGCAUCAGCCAUGGCGCGGUGAAUA
Molecule: ribosomal RNA, 1336 nt
Filed under: uncultured bacterium
Lineage: Bacteria
Description: bacterial SSU rRNA
Rfam family: Bacterial small subunit ribosomal RNA
Source: RNAcentral